This 253-nucleotide ribosomal RNA is filed under the name uncultured bacterium. RNAcentral's name for it is "partial 16S ribosomal RNA". It matches the Rfam family "Bacterial small subunit ribosomal RNA", at positions 524 to 776 of the family's 1533-position model. The record is from RNAcentral.
GACAGAGGAUGCAAGCGUUAUCCGGAAUGAUUGGGCGUAAAGCGUCUGUAGGUGGCUUUUUAAGUCCGCCGUUAAAUCCUAGGGCUCAACCCUGGACAGGCGGUGGAAACUACCAAGCUGGAGUACGGUAGGGGUAGAGGGAAUUUCCGGUGGAGCGGUGAAAUGCGUAGAGAUCGGAAAGAACACCAACGGCGAAAGCACUCUGCUGGGCCGACACUGACACUAAGAGACGAAAGCUAGGGGAACGAAUGGG